UUGAUCAUGGCUCAGAAUGACCGCUGGCUGCGUGCUUAACACAUGCAAGUCGUACGAGAACUCUUUAGCUUGCUAAAGAUAGUAAAGUGGCGUACGGGUGAGUAACGCGUGGGUAAUCUACCUCCGAAUCGGGGAUAACCCGCCGAAAGGCGAGCUAAUACCGGAUAAUAUCUUUAAAACUUCGGUUUUUAAGAUCAAAGGUGGUCUCCACAUGUAAGCUACUGUUUGGAGAUGAGCCCGCGUACCAUUAGCUUGUUGGUAGGGUAAUGGCCUACCAAGGCUUCGAUGGUUAGCUGGUCUGAGAGGAUGAUCAGCUACACUGGAACUGACACACGGUCCAGACUCCUACGGGAGGCAGCAGUGAGGAAUUUUGCGCAAUGGGGGAAACCCUGACGCAGCAACGCCGCGUGAGUGAUGAAGGCUUUCGGGUCGUAAAGCUCUGUCAAGUGGGAAGAACAUGCUUG
This 464-nucleotide ribosomal RNA is filed under the name uncultured bacterium. RNAcentral's name for it is "bacterial SSU rRNA". It matches the Rfam family "Bacterial small subunit ribosomal RNA", at positions 13 to 457 of the family's 1533-position model. The record is from RNAcentral.